ACUUUGUUGAUGUCUCCUUUGCUGUGCAGAAGCUUUUUAGCUUGAUGUAACCUGCCUCAUGUGCUCAUUUUUGCAUCUGUUGCCUGGGCCUUUGAGGUUUCCAAGAUCAAGAAAAUAGAGUCCUGGCAGAGCGAUACUUCAGGUCCUUGACUCCAAUGCAGAGAUCCGCAAAUGUACACUGCUUGGCCUCCCCUGCUUGGGGGCAAGCACCGAAGAGUCCUAUUCUGCCAUCUUCCUAACAUCCAUCUCCCUCAAGAUGAUAUAGUCUGGCUUAUGAAAGUUAUACAUGAAUGUCCAGAAAUUUAAGUAAGGA
This is a non-coding RNA of Macaca mulatta (Rhesus monkey), 313 nucleotides long. The record is from RefSeq and is a predicted model, not a curated record. NCBI's taxonomy places the organism in Eukaryota, Metazoa, Chordata, Mammalia, Primates, Cercopithecidae.